This 512-nucleotide ribosomal RNA is filed under the name Parnassius phoebus ruckbeili. RNAcentral's name for it is "partial 16S ribosomal RNA". The stretch from base 385 to 512 matches the Rfam family "Bacterial large subunit ribosomal RNA", at positions 2473 to 2600 of the family's 2925-position model. Lineage: Eukaryota; Metazoa; Arthropoda; Insecta; Lepidoptera; Papilionidae. The record is from RNAcentral.
UUUUUGAUUAAUAAUUUAAAGUCUAAUCUGCCCACUGAUAAUAUAUUAAAGGGCUGCAGUAUUUUGACUGUACAAAGGUAGCAUAAUCAUUAGUCUCUUAAUUGGUGACUUGUAUGAAGGAUUUGAUGAAAUAUAUACUGUCUCUUUUUAAUUUAUAAAAUUUAAUUUUUUAAUUAAAAAGCUAAAAUAUAUUUAAAAGACGAGAAGACCCUAUAGAGUUUUAUAUUUAUAUAAAUUAAAAUUUUUUAUAAGAUUUAAAAUUUCAAUUUAUAUAAAUAUUUUGUUGGGGUGAUAGAAAAAUUAAAAUAACUUUUUUUAUAGUUUUACAUUAAUAAAUGAAUAAAUGAUCCGUAAUUUACGAUUAUAAGAUAAAAUUACCUUAGGGAUAACAACAUAAUUUUUUUUUUUAGUUCAAAUAAGAAAAAAAGUUUGCGACCUCGAUGUUGGAUUAAGAUAAAAUUUAAAUGCAAAAGUUUAAAAUUUUUGAUCUGUUCGAUCAUUAAAAUCUUACA